This 293-nucleotide ribosomal RNA is filed under the name uncultured bacterium. RNAcentral describes it as "partial 16S ribosomal RNA". It matches the Rfam family "Bacterial small subunit ribosomal RNA", at positions 505 to 796 of the family's 1533-position model. The record is from RNAcentral.
GUGUCAGCAGCCGCGGUAAUACGUAGGGGGCAAGCGUUGUCCGGAAUUAUUGGGCGUAAAGCGCGCGCAGGCGGUUCGUUAAGUCUAAUGGUAAAGCCCGGGGCUCAACCCCGGUGUUCAUUGGAAACUGGCGGUACUUCGAGUGCAGGAGAGGGAAGCGGAAUUCCACGUGUAGCGGUGAAAUGCGUAGAGAUGUGGAGGAACACCAGUGGCGAAGGCGGCUUCCUGGCCUGUAACUGACGCUGAGGCGCGAAAGCGUGGGGAGCAAACAGGAUUAGAUACCCCCGUAGUCC